AAGACGCUCCCGGCGCCUUCCGCCCCUCCGCGAGCCUCAGGCGCCACCGCCAUCUUAGGACGGAGUAAUCACCGCCGCUUUUGCCCACCGGAGAAUAACCUCUGGCGCCAUCUUGAUUAGGUCAAUAUUGUCUUUGGUCUUGCUGGGCAGGCUUGCUGUUUCUACCAUCUAGAUGUAUCGUCGUCCGUGGUUAUUCUCGUUCCUAUAAUUUCCGCCUCCAUGUUGGAUUAAAAAAAUGAUUCUUUCAUUCUCUCUUGUCAUCGUGACUUCUCCCAGUGAUCCUAUCUUCUCCCCUAAUGCGGCCCCGAGUAACCUCCCGUUUUGGGUCAGGUCAAUUGACGCACAUUUCAUUUCCCAUCGUACCCAGAGGCCGGCGGGAACUGCACUUUAUGUUAUCUUGUAGCCGUCAGGGUCUCAAGCAAAAGAACAGGUUGACUUGGUCUCGGGAAAUGGCUCGGACUCCGUCUUGGAGGAAUCCCUGGAAAAGAUUAAACAAACAAGGCCCGAAGGUUUUUUGCAGCUCCUUGGACAAUACCAGAUUGGUUGGCAUUGAAACAGCAGGAUUCGUCUAGAAAAAGGCAUAGACUUCUCUUCUCUGCAGUGGAGAAAGGGGGCUCCCCGAAUCUGGAAAACAAAAUAGAUUCUUCCGUUGAGCCCUCAGAAAGGAUUGCAGGCCUACCAACAUCUUGAUUUUACCCCAGUGAAUCCUCUGUUGGACUGCUGACGUAUAGAACUAAGUUUUAUCAGUUCCUUGAGGGUAGAGGAUAUUUCUAACGCAUCUUAGCAUCUCCCGAGUGCUAAAAGAAUAGAGCUUUCCAUAAGUAUCAGAAUAUUUACAAUAUUGUUUGAAUACUCAAGACAUGGGGGGACUCCACCAUCUGUUCUCUGAUAACAGACUUACUAUGAAACAGGAAUGAUGGUUUCCUGAGAACAAAUGCUUCAAUAUCAAGACAUGCAAAGAUACCACUUGGCUGCCAAUAACAAACUGCUCCAAAGUUACAAAUGCAGACCAAGUGUUGAUUCUACCCCUUUCCUAAGGUCAAUGGAAUGAAAGACUAGGAUAAGAAACUAAAGCAUAACCAGUGCUUUCCAGCCCUGCACCCGAAGCAUCUUCUGAGGUAUCCAGAUGCUGUGCAUCCAGGGAGCAGAUGUCACCACAAACUGGCUACUGAGAGAGGAAGGAAAUAGCCUGUGCAAAGGCAACAGCUGGCACUUACCUGCUGGACCUCAAUCUGUGCUGGAAAAGCCAUUUCCUCCUGAAUUAACUUCACACACUAAAGCAUUUCAGGCAGGCAAGUAUACUUCAGUUAAAAAAAUUAUUUCAAAAGUAAAGAAUUUCAGGGUACUAGGGAAUCAUACAGAAAAUGUGUAUAUGUGUGGUUUAAGCAGAGACCUACUCCUGUAUCCACAGUCACUUUCCUGUAUGUCACAUCCAUCUUGGCCAUAGAGUCCUUUCAUGCACUCUGGACAGGCAUUCCAUCUCGCUCUGUCCUCUGGUCAUCCACUCUCUCACAUACACACUGUGCAGUGUGGUUAUGCCCCUGGCCCUCUGGCCCACAGUGAAGCUAGAUCACUCUAAAAGGAAUCCAGGAGGCCCCAGGUGGAGGUGAUGAAGAAGAAGGUGAGGGAUGAUGACCCACUGUGUGCAGAAGCACUGUGGCCUUGCAGAGAAUGCCCUGGCAGACAGACCACCUGGCAACUUGCACACUAUUCUGGGAGAAGCUGUUACUGGUGACAUCAUUAUCUGUUCUGCUAGCUGGAGUGUGGGGAGACCCAGCUCUUCCCAGGGGAGCUUACCCUGACCUCAGGAAUGGCUCAGAGGUGGUGUCAGCCAGAGCAGCCCUCUGUACUGAGUCCACAUCAGACUAGACUACUUCCUAACCAGCCCUUCUCAACUCCCCAUUGUCUUCAUCCAACACAGACUAGCUUGCCCUAGGCUGGAGUCUCUAAACUCAGAUGGUUCAUUCCUAACAAGGGACAGGUUAGUUCUCUAAUCACUGAUUAUGCUGUGACCUUGUACAAGUCAGUUCCCCUCUCUGGGCCUUAGAGUUGGACCAGAAGAUUCGAAUCUCCCUGCAGCUCUAGUCUUCUACAGACUGGGGGCAGGACUGUCUUCAUUUGUAUGGUGUAGAAAAGUGAAGUCUUUUAACAAAAGACUUUUAACAAAAGUCUCAUUAACAAAAUGACUCAUAGGAAGCUAUGAGAACAAGGCAAAUCAAACUGUUACAUUUCAGAGGAGGCAGCAAAUAACAAAUAGACCACACAUUGGGGGAAAUUUUCCAUCAGAUGGAGCGAUAGACCAUAUAAUUCCUAAAACAGGGAGAAAUGUAAGCACUCGAUAAGCAAAAUCUUAAAAAUAACCUAUACAUCAGAAGUCAAUCUUUGGAAGCUGAUUCAUGGAGAAAAAAAGUUGGCGGGGAAGUUAUUUAUCAGAACUGGAAAAGAACAAUAUAUGUUCUAGCUUUCCAGUUCUAUGCCUUUAAGCUGAAAAUUGGUUGCUGCUUUGCUAACCAAGAUUUUUGGAAUGUUUAAAACAUCACCAAAGGAAGUUUCAAUUCUUGAAAAUUUCCAUCCUUGUCUUGAGGAAGCCUUUUUUCUUAUUGGAGAGCAAUUGCCUACACUGGGUUUCUGUGUUCUAGGCAGGCAGAGUCUGUGUUCCUAACACAGCACAGAGUCCCUCCCCUGGGAAAGGCAGCAAGGAUGACUAACCAGCCUGGUUUCCCAGGACUGAGGGAUUGCCCACAAUGAGAGUUUUUCAGGGAUAAAGCUGAGACAGGCCCUGGAAAAUCCAGGCAAGGUGAUCCCCCUAAAGCCAGGCAGCUAUCAUGGGCCCUACCUAUACACCAACAGCCCCAAGACUACAAUUUCCCCUGAGAAUGCAUAUUAUCUAAAUGUAAUGGCCAGGAGUGCUGUAUUCCCUGGUGGCUCAGUGGCCAAGAAUCCUCCUGCAAUGCAGGAGACACAGGUUCA
Non-coding RNA from Odocoileus virginianus texanus, 2970 nucleotides. Lineage: Eukaryota; Metazoa; Chordata; Mammalia; Artiodactyla; Cervidae. The record is from RefSeq and is a predicted model, not a curated record.